UACGAAGGGGGCUAGCGUUGCUCGGAAUCACUGGGCGUAAAGCGCACGUAGGCGGAUUUUAAGUCAGGGGUGAAAGCCCCCAGCUCAACUGGGGAAGUGCCUCUGAUACUGGCGGCCUCGAGGGAGGUAGGGGCGUGCGGAACUUCCGGUGGAGCGGUGAAAUGCGUAGAUAUCGGAAGGAACACCGGUGGCGAAAGCGGCGCGCUGGACCUCUUCUGACGCUGAGGCGCGAAAGCCAGGGGAGCGAACGGG
RNAcentral lists this ribosomal RNA (252 nucleotides) under uncultured bacterium. RNAcentral's name for it is "partial 16S ribosomal RNA". It matches the Rfam family "Bacterial small subunit ribosomal RNA", at positions 524 to 776 of the family's 1533-position model. The record is from RNAcentral.